Molecule: long non-coding RNA, 239 nt
Filed under: Ananas comosus (pineapple)
Lineage: Eukaryota; Viridiplantae; Streptophyta; Magnoliopsida; Poales; Bromeliaceae
Description: long non-coding RNA (ACOM_LNC017730)
Source: RNAcentral
UGGUCUCCAACCUCUCUUCUAUCUUCUCCGGAUCUCGCGCCUCCAACGGGUUGUCCACGCCCUCACGUCCGAAUCCACGAACGCCACGUUCCGAGUCCACGAAACGCCACCACUCCGCAUCCACGAAGCCACCAAUCACGCCGAAUCCACGACGCCACUCGAAUCCACGAGCCUUCGAUCCGAAUCCACGAACCGCCUUUGUUCACGCCGAAUCCACGAUGCCGUUCAUGAAGAGCAUC